Molecule: long non-coding RNA, 635 nt
Organism: Girardinichthys multiradiatus
Lineage: Eukaryota; Metazoa; Chordata; Actinopteri; Cyprinodontiformes; Goodeidae
Exons: 2
Source: RefSeq, a predicted model, not a curated record
ACUGGCCCGGGGAUAUGGAGCCCAACCAAUGGAAGAGGAGGCAGAGGGACGAAGGAGAGAGAAUCAAUCCGUAAUCGCUGAGGACUAGGCAGUAGGAAGGGUGAAGAGGAAGUGGAAAAAGGAAAAAAAAGAAAUCAGAGAGAAAAAAAGACAGAAGGUGGUGUGUUUACCAGGCAGACAUUUGGGUGCUGUCAGCUGACUGCAAGAGCUCUGGGGUAUCACAGAAAGAAAACCGAGUUAUAUAACCAGGCUGAUAACGCAGAAAGAGAGAGAGAAAGAGGCUGAAAGAGACAGACAGACACAGAAGAAGACAUGGACCAGAGAACAAAAUAUUGCAGUUUAAAGUGACAGGGGGAACAUGAUCAAAGACAAAAUAAACACGGUGCAGGGAGCUGCCACUGAGGCAGGUCCUUUAGGCCAUCCAGUCAGCUUUUAUAGGAUGUCCCAAGGACUACGCUUAAACGCUGGGGUGACUGGGGCUUUUUGGUGGUGGCACCCAGCCUCUGGAACCGGCUUCCUUUGAAUCUUAGUACCUUCACUGAAUCGGGCCUUUUUAAAAGCAAUUUGAAUUUGUAUUUGCUCAGAAAGGCUUGUAUUCUUCCUUGCACAUUCCUAUUAAACUGAAUUAUUUGGUU